Molecule: long non-coding RNA, 2941 nt
Filed under: Gossypium barbadense (sea-island cotton)
Lineage: Eukaryota; Viridiplantae; Streptophyta; Magnoliopsida; Malvales; Malvaceae
Description: long non-coding RNA (GBAR_LNC016913)
Source: RNAcentral
UAAAAUAUUAUUGUAAAUGUGUAAAUAUUUUAAGUGCUUAACUGUUUGGACACUACAGUUGAAAUCACCCGAGUGGUGCAGAAACACACUGUUGGUUGAAGCAUUAAGUUUAAUAUAAAGGAUAUAAAUUAAGUAAAGAAUGGUGCUAAAGUAAAAGAACUACCAUUAGCUAAGCAAAUUCAUCAAAACAAUAAGAGCAAGAAAUCACAGAAGAUAUCUGCAAAUAUGAAACUAUAUCAGUUGUUGUAACCCGUGAUCCUUCCUCUUGCUGCCUAAAAAUCCUUUGAAACAGUUUCUCCUGCAAAAGAACAAGGGAAAAAAGAGGAAGGAUUUAUAUAGUAGAUACAAUACCAGACGUCAACCAGGGACAAAUGAAAACAAUUAUACAACUGAAAACGAAAGCAAAAGAAAGCCUGCAGCAAUAUUUUAAAAUGAAGGGUUGCAAUGAAAGCAUUGCAGUGGGAAACAUAGUAGGCUGAAAUUAUUCAUAACUAAUUUAAGACAACAAUGAGCAAGACUACGAGACCAAUGGAAUAAAACAAGGAUGCAAAUCAACCACAAGCACCAUUCACCGCAUAUGGACAAAUCAAUAAAUUAAAGAACUAAGUAAAAAAUCUAGAAGCGGAGGGCUCUAUCGUGAGAACUGAGGACACAAGUUCAAGAACUAGGGAACUUUUUCCAGUUUUACUACAAACACAAAAAAGGUGUGCAUGCUUGCUACAAUCAUCAUUUUGCCUUUGAAGAAGCUAUGACUGAUCAAGGGAGCUCAAAGCAUGCAGCUUCUAAUUUGAGGGCUUAAUGUCUCUUCAAUAUAGGGUUUAGUUCCGAGGACAAUUUUUAUAUCAUGUGACUAUCUUUCUAGAACAUAAUUAUAUGACCAUUUUAUCUUAUUCUGUAAGCAUAAUAAAAACUUAUGGCACAUCGUAGUCGCAAUUUGGAUUUAACCAGCUUCAGGAUACCUGAUAUAGUUGCUUUAAAGCAAAAGAAUUUUAAAAAUUAAUAUCAUAAUAACUUGCUAAAUUUGAGAAAGUGACUAACCAUUAAUUAUAAUUUAACUUUUUCUAUAUAUAAACUAAAAUUACACUUUUUUCCUUCAAAAUAAUUAUAUUAUUCUUGAAUUUUAAAACUCUAAUGUACUUUCUAUUCCAAAAACACUUUUAAUUUUUUGCUUCUGAAAGCAAAAAACAAAAAAGAAGUAUAAAAAAAAAAAAGCCAAACACGACCUUUGUAUUUUUUGUAUUUAUUUAUUUAUUUUCAAGUUUUUAAACAACAAUAGCUCAUCAAAAACUUGAUAAAUUUUUUAAGGUAAUAAAGACUAAAGAACUUCAUGUUGUGAUCAUGUGCUCAAUACUGAGGUGGAGGCCAUUCUGUUCAGCUUGGAACUAGCAGCUGAAUAUCGACCCUCGAAUAUAGUAGUGGAAAGUGAUUAUAUGUUAGCAGUAACAAGGAUAAACAGUUUGAGUCCUAUUUUUUAGGAGCGGAAUGGUUUGCUUAAUGAUAUUUUGGACUUGAUCUUGCAUUUGGGGUCGUGUUUUUGGCCAUACUUUUCAACUAGGACAUCAGUUUUCCCAUAAUCUUACUAAGCUUGAUUGUAAUGUUGGGGAGGAUUAAAGAUGGUCAGGCUCAGCUAGUUAAUUUCUGUAAUCCUGAUUUAUGGGAUGACUAAAACACCUUACUGCCCUCCAUAAAAAAAACAACGAAUAAUCCAUACACUAAAUACAAGUAAUUCAACCAAGAACCAUAAGGAGAAUGAAGUAGGGUGAAACCCAGAAUUAGAAAAAGUACCCAAUAAUCCAUUGAAUGAAAUGUAUAGAAGGAGAAUGCAUGGAGAAAUACAAUUUACAAGAAAACUGAAUAUUCGUUUGAGAUCACAUGUCUAUUAUAUUUGGAACAUAUGUCCCAACUCCCAACAGUAUAUACAUACAUAUACAUGGCUAUUAUAACUGAAAUGUAUAGAAGAAGAAUGCAUGGAGAAAUACAAUUUACAAGAAAAUGAUAUCACAUGUCUAUUAUAUUUGGAACAUAUGUCCCAACUCCCAACAGCAUAUACAUACAUAUACAUAGCUCAUGUUAUUACUGUAAUAAAAAACUGGAAAACAUGUAUGUGAAUGUAUGUAUGUAUGUAAUGUAUGCUGCCCUUACACCACAUAAUAUUCCCAUCCAUCUCAUCUGUAGUUAACUUUCAAAAUAUUCCCCAAUUUUAAAUCCAAGCCAAGAUUGAAAUGAACAAAAUCCAGUUUCUUCAUUUUUCUGACUAAUCAACAAAAUCCAGUUUCAUAAAAUGAAAUGUUCCAUUUAACACAGUAAAGUCAGUUGAAGCUAAAAAAUUACCAAUUUUUAAUUCCUCAAGUUUACAUCCCAAUCCUAAUUUAUUCGUCGAACCUCAACAAUUAAACAAAAUAAAAAAUAAAAUACUAAUAUAAAUAUGCAGAAACCCCUAACAAUUACAUAGAGCUUGCAAUCAAGAAUGUGAGUAGAAAUCCACCUUCGAUGAAUCGCGAGAAGAGGUGACGAUUCAGGUUGCAAUUUUUUAGCAACCUAACGAGAAGAGGUGAAUCAGCAGGCAUUACAAAUCUGCCAUUAGAAGAGAACCAGCAUGAGCAUAAUUAAGAAAGAAGAUAGUGAUAUACCUGUGGCUGCUAAUUUUUUAAGGUUUCUUUAAAAUACAGACUUGACGAGGGUCGACCGACAGAGAUGACGAGGCCAACGAACAGAGAUGAGGAGGAGCGGCAGAGGCUGAUGGACAGAGAGGAAGAGAGAACCACUGCUAGUGUAGAGAAGGGAAUGGAAAAUGUCUUAUGAAUUCCAAAUUGGUAAGACUUUUUCCGGAAAUUGAGAAUUGAUUUACCCGUGUUUUGAAAAAUGUUUUCGUUUAGUAAUUCAUUUUCUACCAAACAAACGCCGAAAAAAUCCGAAAAAUAUUUUCCAGAAAACAUUUUCU